AUGAGUAACAUUCCUACCUAGAAAUGAAUUUGGAAGACCUUUUUUAUGGUUACGCAUUAAAACACAAUAUCGGAGAGCUAAUAUUUCAGUGGUGAGUGGAUGCAAGAGGACUGUACCUUCUUCGCUCCAACAGCUAUACUACUGCACAUGAUUUAAUGUUUGUCCUGAUGUUUUACAUGUCUGCAUAAUCAUUGAUGAUAAAAUAGAACUUUUUUUUUUAUUUUAAAGUGCAGAUAAAUAAUCAUAUAAAAUCUAAUUGUCAAUUAUGUAUUAUGGUGU
This 279-nucleotide long non-coding RNA is filed under the name Mytilus galloprovincialis (Mediterranean mussel). Lineage: Eukaryota; Metazoa; Mollusca; Bivalvia; Mytilida; Mytilidae. The record is from RNAcentral.